RNAcentral lists this ribosomal RNA (497 nucleotides) under uncultured bacterium. Its description in RNAcentral is "partial 16S ribosomal RNA". It matches the Rfam family "Bacterial small subunit ribosomal RNA", at positions 28 to 507 of the family's 1533-position model. The record is from RNAcentral.
GAUGAACGCUGGCGGCGUGCCUAAUACAUGCAAGUCGAGCGAACGGACGAGAAGCUUGCUUCUCUGAUGUUAGCGGCGGACGGGUGAGUAACACGUGGAUAACCUACCUAUAAGACUGGGAUAACUUCGGGAAACCGGAGCUAAUACCGGAUAAUAUUUUGAACCGCAUGGUUCAAAAGUGAAAGACGGUCUUGCUGUCACUUAUAGAUAGAUCCGCGCUGCAUUAGCUAGUUGGUAAGGUAACGGCUUACCAAGGCAACGAUGCAUAGCCGACCUGAGAGGGUGAUCGGCCACACUGGAACUGAGACACGGUCCAGACUCCUACGGGAGGCAGCAGUAGGGAAUGUUCCGCAAUGGGCGAAAGCCUGACGGAGCAACGCCGCGUGAGUGAUGAAGGUCUUCGGAUCGUAAAACUCUGUUAUUAGGGAAGAACAGAUGUGUAAGUAACUGUGCACAUCUUGACGGUACCUAAUCAGAAAGCCACGGCUAACUACGUG